GGCGCCAAUUUCCUUCANNGUCGACGGUACGCGGAGAGAGCUUGCUUCUCUCCGGCGACGAGUGGCGAACGGGUGAGUAAUACAUCGGAACGUGUCCGCUCGUGGGGGACAACCAGCCGAAAGGUUGGCUAAUACCGCAUGAGUUCUACGGAAGAAAGAGGGGGACCCGCAAGGGCCUCUCGCGAGCGGAGCGGCCGAUGACUGAUUAGCCGGUUGGUGAGGUAACGGCUCACCAAAGCAACGAUCAGUAGCUGGUCUGAGAGGACGACCAGCCACACUGGGACUGAGACACGGCCCAGACUCCUACGGGAGGCAGCAGUGGGGAAUUUUGGACAAUGGGCGCAAGCCUGAUCCAGCUAUUCCGCGUGUGGGAUGAAGGCCCUCGGGUUGUAAACCACUUUUGUAGAGAACGAAAAGACACCUUCGAAUAAAGGGUGUUGCUGACGGUACUCUAAGAAUAAGCACCGGCUAACUACGUGCCAGCAGCCGCGGUAAUACGUAGGGUGCGAGCGUUAAUCGGAAUUACUGGGCGUAAAGGGUGCGCAGGCGGUUGAGUAAGACAGAUGUGAAAUCCCCGAGCUUAACUCGGGAAUGGCAUAUGUGACUGCUCGACUAGAGUGUGUCAGAGGGAGGUGGAAUUCCACGUGUAGCAGUGAAAUGCGUAGAUAUGUGGAAGAACACCGAUGGCGAAGGCAGCCUCCUGGGACAUAACUGACGCUCAGGCACGAAAGCGUGGGGAGCAAACAGGAU
RNAcentral lists this ribosomal RNA (750 nucleotides) under uncultured bacterium. Its description in RNAcentral is "bacterial SSU rRNA". It matches the Rfam family "Bacterial small subunit ribosomal RNA", at positions 43 to 778 of the family's 1533-position model. The record is from RNAcentral.